Long non-coding RNA from Carassius gibelio (silver crucian carp), 1644 nucleotides. RefSeq lists it as uncharacterized. The record is from RefSeq and is a predicted model, not a curated record. The transcript is spliced from 7 exons. Lineage: Eukaryota; Metazoa; Chordata; Actinopteri; Cypriniformes; Cyprinidae.
GUUGACCUGAAAGAAACGUUACUCAGUGUUCUGGUGUCAAACAUCGACACUCUGCCACAAUGCUAGAUUGCCACACAGUCUGGGAUCUGUGACUGUAAGUGCAAAAGACAUCAGGCACAAAACGGUGCUGAAGGCACAAUUAAAUAUAUGCAUGUCAUUGCAUUCAGUAAUCAGCUGGCAUCUGAAAACAAAUCGUGUUUAAAAUAAUUGCCAUUUGUUUUUAUAUUUGAUCAAAUGCAAUGGAAUUCAUAAAUUUUUAUCUGUGUGUAUUCUGUUUGAAUUAUAGCUUACCUACUGUACAAUACAUUGCAUUAUGUUUCCUGUGAUACACACACACUGAGUGAUGCUGGGGCAGUAAAUGUUAUUUUAUCUCUCUCAGGGUAAUUCAAUACUGUCACAAGAGCUUUUGAGUGUGUUCCAGAAUGCAGUUUGUUACAGUAUCAGUAUGCAAGAAUAUGAACUAAUGUGAACUUUGUUUUCUCUGCACUUCUCAUGAUUACAUUUCUGAAAAUGUCUUCAUAAAUAUAACAAAAUAUCUUGAUAUAUCGCAAGAUAUCUAAAUGGGCCACGAUUAAGAACCAAGAUAUUUGUGAAAAAAACCAUGGAAGAAACAAGUAUCAGAAAGUACAAAGAAAGUAAAAAUAUAUUAAUUUAUUUUAUAUAUUUCAAUGCCAAAAAAAACACACGGGUGCAGUUUGAUGACACAUGCUGGCAGCGUCACGCCCCCUCUCUUCGGCCUCUGGGAUUGGCUUUGCAGUUGGUCCACUGUGACCCUGGUGUCGUCACCCGCAUACUCCACCUCUCCGACCACCUGACCCAUGCCGCGCUGGUGCGCACUCGACCCCCAUGUCAGCCGGUCCGCCCACCCUGGGGCCUCUGCCAUCUACCGAGGAUUCUGGGCUUCUCCACCUCCGCGAAAGAGCCUUUUGAGCAGAGAAUGAGUGCGGCAGCCUACACCCUGCCCUCCAUCUCCUGCCCUGGAGACCCGGGGAUCAUUGCUCCACCCUCUGUGUGAAUGAGACACCUCUCAUAACCCUGCUGGUGCACCACACUUACACCGGCGAUCUUCAGUUGUUCUCAUAUGGCUCGGCUGACAUAAUUUUGGGUGCAUGCACUGAAUUCUGGGAUAUUCAACCCCUCACAGACUCCGACAGGAAGAAAGCUGUGGAUUUUUAUCAGCGUUCCUGUAUGGCUGGUCAGUGUGUUGCUGUUUCCUGUUACAACCACAUGACCCAGAAAUAGAUGACACCUGUGUGGAACUGCCUUUGAACCCCAGUGCUGACACUACAGAUGAUUUCUCUAUCACACCCUUCAGGCAGCAGAUCUUUCUGGGUCUGGUGUCCUCACAGUAUCAAGCCCGUCCUGAUAUGGUCAGGCUUAUCUCAGGGCUGGACAGUGCUUGCAUUCGUUUAGUCUAUUUUUCCAGUGAAGAGGAAGUUCGGAGUGAGGUGUUUGCUGAGAAAAUGGUACUGGAGACGGGAUGGAGCUGUCACAUCUCCCUCCAAUCAGAGAGCUUCCCUCUCGACCCAGAAAACGUGCAGGAGCCGGUGACAGAGGAAGAGGAAGAAAUUCUGCUGAGAGACAGUGUCAGAGAGAGGGCAGAUUCAAGAGCAAUGGAGCAUGAUGUCUCAUCGAGGACCUAAA